CCUCAGCAUAAACCAAAGCCGGGAAAUACGAACAAAUUUUUGAAACCUAAAGACCUUGGCGGUGCCUUAUUCAAUCAGGGGAACCUGUCCCUUAAUACGAUAAUCCACGAAUAUCCUUCCUUUAUUUGUAACAUAUAUAUAAACAGCCUGUGUACUGCCGUCAAAAGCACACCUAAAAAAGAGUGUACUAAAAUAAUCUAAACCAUUUAUGUCAGGUCAAAGUGCAGCCAAUAUAAAGGAGGAGAUGGGUUACACCCUAUAAAUCAAGACACCCAAACCUGUAAGAAAUACAGACCAAAGAUGGACUUGAAAGUAACUUUUACUAUCAACUAAACGCGACUAGUAACCCAAGGCAUGCACACAUCGCCCGUCACUCUCGUCCAAAGAUG
RNAcentral lists this ribosomal RNA (389 nucleotides) under Bathydrilus formosus. RNAcentral describes it as "partial 12S ribosomal RNA". It matches the Rfam family "Bacterial small subunit ribosomal RNA", at positions 875 to 1415 of the family's 1533-position model. Lineage: Eukaryota; Metazoa; Annelida; Clitellata; Tubificida; Naididae. The record is from RNAcentral.